This is a long non-coding RNA of Strigops habroptila (Kakapo), 2806 nucleotides long. RefSeq lists it as uncharacterized. The transcript has 3 exons. The record is from RefSeq and is a predicted model, not a curated record. NCBI's taxonomy places the organism in Eukaryota, Metazoa, Chordata, Aves, Psittaciformes, Psittacidae.
GCCGCUGCGGCUCGGCUGCCGCCGCCGCUCCCGGGCUCUCGUGCCCUCCCUCAGUGACAGGCUCGUGCGCACGGGGGUGGGGAGCAGAGCAGAGGGGGGAUCUCUGCCCGUGCGGCGCCGCUCCGCUUGCGCCCCAGCAGCACCGCCGGGCGCACGGGCGGCUGCCUGGCUGUGAUCACUGACCGGGCCUGGGCGAGGGGCCGCCACCCCCGGCUAUACGGCAGAAACCCGAGAGGCAGGAGAGCCGGGCUAGCAGGAGCUGCGUGACACAGAGCGGCGUUUCUGAUGUAAAGAUUUCGUAGAAAAAAUCAAAGACGUUUCACUGCGACGAAGGUUGGUGAGACAUAAGGUAGUAAUCAACUAUCAAGAAAAUUACAGAUACAGCUGAUGUGGUCGGUUAAGUCUUAUUUCUUUCAAGGCUGACAAACUCUCAUGGGAGCAUUAGAGAAACAGGAUCACAGAAUCAUAGAAUACCUCAAGUUCAGAGAGAACCCAUAAGGAUCAUUGACUCCAAAUCUCUGCUCCUCACAGAACUACCUAAAACUAAACCAUAUGACUAAGAGCAUCACUCAGACAUUCCUUGAAUGCUGACAGGUUUGGUGCCAUGACCACAUUGCUGGGGAGCCCGUUGCAGUGAAUGACCACCCUCUCAGUGAAGAAUCUUUUCCUAAUGUCCAGUCUGAACAUUCUGUGAUGCAGCUUCAUUCCAUUUACUCCUGUCCUAUCACUGGUCACCAGAGAGAGGAGAUGAGCACCUCCUGCUCCUUUGCUCCUCUUGAGGAAGUUACAGACUGUGAUGAAGUCACCCCUCAGCCUUCUCUUCUCCAAGCUGAACAAACCAAGUGACCUCAGCUGCUCCUCAUAAGUCUUGCCUUUCAUCGUCUUGGUCACCUUCCUCUGGACACUCUCUAAUAGUUGAAUAUCUUUCUUAUAUUGAGGAUAAUAAUUGUUGCGGUUUAAACAAUGCUAUAAAUGUGAAAUCACUAGAGCUAAUUAGUACAGUGCUGUGAUACAAUGAGGGUGUUUUUUCUUAGGGUCCUAAUGGAACAGCUAGCUCCAUCUGCAUCGAAUCUUAUUUCUGGAAUAAUUGUAUCGACUUCAGUAGGCUGUGGUUAAGGAAAUUGGUCUUCUAGUUAUGGAAUUGUGUUUUAAAUGUAAAAAACUUACAAUUUUAGUCUAGUAAAAGUAGUUUCAAUACAAUCCAUUCAAUGUUAUCAAUUUGAGGAUGAUUUACUCCUGAAACCAAAGGUGAUGUGACGAAUAUGCCAGCCAACCCUGCCAAUCAGUAACAAAACCACUUUUAAUAUCUGUCAGAUAUUCAGAUAACAGACUGGUAAAUUAAGAAUGCACUACACAUAAGAAAAAGUUCACAAAAAAUGUUAUUCUUUUAGUAGAGCAUUAUAGUUCCAAUCUAACAUCAUGCACGAUCAGUAAAGCUAAAUUUCUAAAGCAAAACAUGCAGAAGUUAAAAUUCUUAAAGCAAAAAUAUCUUGGCUUAGUUGCACAUUUUUCAUUUUAAAGUAAAUAUGUUAACCAAAAUGGGACUAUAACAAGCUGUACUUUUAAAAUUUAGCUAACUGUACAUGAUGAUAGAGUUGUAUUUCCAGCCUACUUUACUAUGUAGUCUGAACUUACCCCCUAUUACUUUGUUGUGGGUUUUUUUAAGAUUUUACCAUUUUAUGAAGGUGUAGCACCUUGUACAACUUUUAACAAUUUAAGAAAACACACAUAAGAUGAUGAUGCUAGAAAAUGAAUAUGUUAAGGCUUUAUUCAAUUGUUAGUAUCUAACUGUACUAGUGGUAAUGUAGGCAGUAAUCACAUGUAGUCCAGCCAAAUUCAAAUAUACUAUUUAAUACCAUUUUUUGCAGACAGUCAAAACACUGAGGUGCUGCAAAAAGAGUAUCUUCUUCUUUUCUUGUGCUUUUCCACAAUUUUCUAUCCAGGAAAGUUCCAAACAAACUCUAUUCAAAAUUGAGUAUUAUGUACAGCGAUAAAUGUCUGCAAAAUAUUUUGGUGUCUGUGCUCCCAUUUCUACAAAAACAUACAUUAUUGUUAAUCAUAGUAAUCUGAAACGUCAUUGUUCUUUAAAUACUUGUUUCUUGAGCGGAUUUCUCAGAUGAAAAUAACUUUGCCAACAUGUAAAAAAUAUUGAUACCUCAAACUUUUGUAUAUGUCAAGUCUGACUGAAAAUAUUGUGUUAAUUAUCUUUUGGACUGCAUGGGUAAAUUAUUCAUUAUUAUAUUGUUAUACUGUGGAGGAACUGGGUUGCAUUAUUUCCGAAGACUAUGCAUUACUUAAAAAUGUUUGAAAGCCAUUUCUCUCAUCAUUACAAUUGUCACAUUAGUGAAAGAAAACAGUCAGCUUUCCAGGAACAUUUUAUUUAUUUAGAGCCUCUAAGAUUUCCCAAGAGAAUAUGUCAUAUAAUCAAAAAUGCUUGGCAUAAUAGAUUCUGCAACACUGCAUUACAUUCUGUGGAAAGUCAUUUAUGAAAAAAUGAGCUAUGCCCAUGUUAUACAAUGUCAUCUAGAUAUCACAAUAAAACAUAUGAUGACAGCAGGUAUUGGUCAUGGAAGUUUGAACUGUAUUUUGUUUGAUUGUUUUCACUGCUCAAUCUGAUGAAAUUAACAUACUAUGUAAAUCUGGCCAUCUGAGAACAGAGUUAAAAACUGUAAUUAUAGGAAUUAAAGAAAUAUUUCACCUUUAUAUAGAAUAUGGUGAACUGCAAAGUUAUAUUAAAAAUCUUUAAGGUUUGAAUUGCAUUUAAAUGUUCAAAACCUUUAAAAUAAAAAUAGGUCAUCUACUAAAA